Molecule: unclassified non-coding RNA, 307 nt
Filed under: plant metagenome
Description: partial contains 5.8S ribosomal RNA, internal transcribed spacer 2, and large subunit ribosomal RNA
Rfam family: 5.8S ribosomal RNA (bases 1-105)
Source: RNAcentral
GAAAUGCGAUAAGUAGUGUGAAUUGCAGAAUUUAGCGAAUCAUCGAAUCUUUGAACGCACAUUGCGCCCCUUGGUAUUCCAUGGGGCAUGCCUGUUCGAGCGUCAUUUCAACCCUCAAGCACUGCUUGGUGUUGGGCGUUUGUCCCGCCUACGCGCGUGGUCUCGCCUCAAAGUCAUUGGCGGCUGUUCCCCUUCGGCUCGUAAGCGCAGCACAGUCGGCGCCCGGAGCUCUGGUGGGAUGGCGUCCAGCAAGCUAUAUUUUCAGGCUUGACCUCGGAUCAGGUAGGGAUACCCGCUGAACUUAAGC